RNAcentral lists this long non-coding RNA (422 nucleotides) under Pongo abelii (Sumatran orangutan). RNAcentral describes it as "lincRNA". The record is from RNAcentral. Lineage: Eukaryota; Metazoa; Chordata; Mammalia; Primates; Hominidae.
GAGCUCUUUCUGAGAUGAAGAGAACUCUCAAUGUCAAGAUUUCAACAAGAAGAGAAUGGAAUACACGAUACGGACAUCCAUAAAAAUUCUUCAGAGGGUGUUUUACUACUGAGCUGCAAAGGGAAAAACUUAAAAUGGAUAUGAAAAGUGAAGAAAGUGAUCAUAGGAGAAAACCAUUUCAGGUGUCUGAUGAUUUGUGAGCCUCAAGUGACUACUCUGUGGAAUCACCUGUCCUUGCCUUUGAAUUAGCUUUCCGUAGGCCAUGAGUCAACAUUAGUAGUUUAUACAUCCAAAUUGAUGACAAGAGCACCUCAAAGGCAGCAGCCUCAAGAAGCAGCCAUGGCCCCAGAGUUGUCCCACGGAUGCAGAAAACUUAAUGGAGGAGGCUGAGGUCAGAAUGGGAAGAGUUUUUAAAAAGUAAA